CAUUAUUAGAAAUUAAAGAAGGGAUUAUUUACCCAAAAAGAAAAAGAGGUUGUCCAGCCACCUCUCUAGCUAGCUAGCAUAUACAAGUACUGUCGUCAACACCUUCAAUCCUCAAACAAAAUGCAGCUGGUCGCAACCAAUCAAAUACUAUACAACCGAUUUUCUAAUUACUUCUUCAAUUUUGUGGGGUAUUGUAGCUAAUAAUUUACCCUAAUCUCUGGUUUAUCUGAUCUAUCUCGAAUUCAGGGUAUGAUUUAGUUUUUGGUUAUUGGAAUAAUAAUUUUCCCUAAGAUGAUUUGUAAUGUGCCCUAAUCUUUUUCUUUCAAAGUUGUUCUAAAUUAGUGUUAUUUCUAUCGAAUAUGUUAUUUUUUUUAUUUGUACAACUCAUAAUUCAGUAUGAAAUUUGUCAAUUUGGGGUUGUUUAGUUAUUAGAUUAUUUGCUACCUCCGAAUCUGACAUUAUUCUCAAAUUACUAACCCUAAUUCUAAAUUUUUUGGGUUUCACUUUGAUUCUGAUUCUGCUUGUCGUAAAAAUUCUUCUAGAUUAAUUUGGAAAUAAUGUUAAAGUUAUUCCUGAUUUGGAAAACAAUUGCUUAGGAAUUAGAUUUCCUUUGAAGUUCAUAUUGUUAUUUUGGUAAUGUUUGUAUUACUCUUGUUAUUUCUUGUCCUUCGACUUCUGUUAUCUAUUGUUUCUUGUGAUUCAACUGUCAUUAUUUAUUUUAUGUGGUACUACUCCUUUAUUAUCAAUUAUUUUUAUUAUUAUCUGUUGAUUUUUAUUGAACUGAGGGCCUACUGAAACAGCCUCUCUACCUCUGAGGUAGGGAUAUAGUCACUCUGAGGUAGGGAUAUAGUCUGCAUACACUUUACCCUCCCCAGACCCCCACUUUGUGGGAUUACAUUUGUUAUAUUGUUGCUGAUUUAGAUUUUCCUUGAAGUUCAUAUAGUUAUUUUGGUACUUUUUGUUUUAAUGUUGGGUAGAUAGAGUGUUUGGACCUCAAACAAGUACUCAGGAUGUUUAUGAAGUAGUGUCUCAACCUGUGGUUAAGGCUGCAAUGAAAGGCAUACAUGGUAUUUUUUUCUUGGGACUGAAUUUUCAUCAUUUAAGUGCAACACUUUAUGCUGUUCUAUUUAAUUGAAUUGAUUUUUUUUUUUACAUGAGACCUGCUGAUUACGUAGGCACAAUAUUUGCUUAUAGAGUCACAAGUAGUGGAAAAACACACACUAUGCAUGUAAGUUAAUUUUCCUUUGGGUUAUAUCCUUUCUUUCUUGAAUUGAAAGAAAGUUUAUCGACUCAAUUGCAUUGCUAAUGAACUCUCUAGGUACUUUUGGUUAUUAACGAUUGGCAGAGCUACUGCCCUGCAAUACUGCAUAAUCUUUAACUUGUUGCAGAUUUGUCGAAGUGCUUGGAGGAGCUUGUGCUUUUUCUAUUUCCACUGGAGACGGAGAGGAAAGAUUGGAUAUCAAAUUUGGCAGUUAAAUAAGAAGAGUGUAAAAAGGCGGUAGAGAAUAAGAAAGAGGCGUAUAAUGCGUUGAUUGCUUUGGAUGAGCUGCGCGUAUGAGUAGAUGUUAAAAAAUGUGGAAUAGAGGUUGGAAAAGAUUUAUGAGACUGUUGUUGCUGGUGGUAAUUUGGAUGAAUAGGUGUCUAGUAAGAAUAGUUCUAAGAUGAAAGAGAAAGUGAAUAAGGAAGUGAUCGGGAUUUUGCAAGAGGCGACGAACAAGAGUGUGAAAAGGGUUGAUUUAUUCGGUAGGAAGCUGAGGAUGUUUCCUAAAGCUUUUAGGAAGAUUCGCUCCUUAAUCAUGCUUAAUUUGUCCAAAAAUCAGCUUAAGAAUAGUGUGCAUGAAGAUAAUAAGGAUGAACUUUCCCAUCCAAACUUAUCCUAUCUCGAGCUAGCUGUGGAAAAUAUGGAAGGAACACAUGUUGAUUCAUCAGAGAUGAAACUUUAGCGUGAAAAGCUGAAGAAUUGGAGUUACAGAAACAAUCGAGACGAUUGCAGUCUCAAUAUAUUAUGCUCACUAGGCAGGCUUCUACAUUGAUUUAGGGAAGAAGGGCUCGAGUUACAGCAAUUUCUAUUCUUAAUGGAUAGCAGGCUACCACAGAUAAUAGCCUUUCAGGAAAAAAUUUAGAGAAACCAGGUGGAAUUGUUGCUCUUCUAGAUGUAGCUUGGUACCAUAAAAUCCCACAAGCUCUGUGUUAAGCCCAAACUGCAUUUGCUAUGUGUCACUACUCAUCAAGGCAAUGUAUCUUUUGCAUUAAUAAAGUAUAUCAAGGCAAUGGUGCUCCUUUAGAGAGCAUAAUUAGAGAUAGUUAAUAGAGGAUUUCUGUUUUCUUUUUUCCAUGAAGUAUUUGGGUAAAUGAUGUAUAUAUGGUGUUCUUGCAUAUUUAUAAAAGCAGAUUAUGGUAAUUUGAUA
Capsicum annuum is the source of this 2408-nucleotide long non-coding RNA. RefSeq lists it as uncharacterized. Lineage: Eukaryota; Viridiplantae; Streptophyta; Magnoliopsida; Solanales; Solanaceae. The transcript is spliced from 3 exons. The record is from RefSeq and is a predicted model, not a curated record.